GUGUAGAUAGCUCAAUGGUUAAAGCAUCACUCAUGAAGACUGAGGUUGUGGGUUCAAGUCCCACAGUACACA
RNAcentral lists this transfer RNA (72 nucleotides) under Puccinia sorghi. It matches the Rfam family "tRNA". From Rfam's summary of the family: Transfer RNA (tRNA) molecules are approximately 80 nucleotides in length. Their secondary structure includes four short double-helical elements and three loops (D, anti-codon, and T loops). The record is from Rfam by way of RNAcentral. Lineage: Eukaryota; Fungi; Basidiomycota; Pucciniomycetes; Pucciniales; Pucciniaceae.